UUAGAAUGGUGGGAGACACAGUUAUAACUGGUAGUGAUAAUUUUGGACUGCAAGAAUGUGGUCUAUUUCCUGAGGAACAUGUGAUGGUGUUCUAGCAUGCCAUGCUGGCUCAAUAUUAAGCGUUGAAUAUUCCACACUUGACGAAGGAAUAAUUACAGGUUCAACUGAAGGGCUACUCCGCUUUUGGGAAAAUGUGGAGGGUAAGAGCAUUUUAUCUCGACUCUAGAAUUUUCAUUUUUCAUUCUUUCAUGUUCAACUGGUACUGGUGACUAUUAAAAUAGUCAAGGGAAUACAAGAUAAUGUUGGUUGGUUUCUUUCUACAAGAUUUUGUGUAAUUAAUCAAAUAAUUAUGUCACAAUUC
Molecule: long non-coding RNA, 361 nt
Organism: Prunus persica (peach)
Lineage: Eukaryota; Viridiplantae; Streptophyta; Magnoliopsida; Rosales; Rosaceae
Exons: 2
Source: RefSeq, a predicted model, not a curated record